This 1025-nucleotide long non-coding RNA is filed under the name Chinchilla lanigera (long-tailed chinchilla). Its description in RNAcentral is "lncRNA (ENSCLAG00000025452.1)". Lineage: Eukaryota; Metazoa; Chordata; Mammalia; Rodentia; Chinchillidae. The record is from RNAcentral.
CCCCCAGCGCCCCCGGGUCCCAGCCGACGAGCUCUGCUCGUUGACCCGGGUGAAGCCCCCGGGGGCACAGCUCACCUGUUUGUAGGCAUCGAGCAGGAAGCUCUUCCAGACGCAGCGCAGUCCCUCUGAGGUCAGCAUGCGCCUCCACUCUCCGCGAGUGGACUUGGAGCGGCUCAGCAGCAGAACCACGUGCUUGAGCAGAAUGACCGAGUCAUAGAGCGCCAGAAAGAGGCAGUUGGAGAAAAAAACUGGCAGAAUUUGCAGUGUGAUCAGCAAGUCUAUGCUGAGGAUACCCAUCUUCUCUGCCUCCUUAGUCAGUCCCCUUGUGCGCUCUGGUUCCCCUUCACCCUCUUAUUUAAAAGAGGGGUGGUGAUGGGGGGUGGGGGAGGUAAGGAGGAAGGUUGGGGGUGGGGGGGGGAGAAGGAGAAAAACUAAAUUAAAAGGAAGCCCAAGUUGUCUCCUCUUUCAAAGAAGCAGAAAUGGCACGACCAAGUUCAGUCUCCAGCCCAGCAGUUGGAGUGUGCCCAUCAAUUCAUUCAAUUCGGAGCUGCUGCCUUUUUUUUUUUUUUUUUUUUUUUUUGCAGGAUUUAAGAUGUUAAAAAAAAAAAAAGAAAGAAAGAAACUGGCGCACCCGUCCCUAAUCCAGUUACCCCUGUCAGAGUCCGUUAAAGACACGUUGUUCUACUUUCAUUUCCAAGCACCUAUGAGACUGUGGAAGAGACUGCAAAAUUUUCCUUAGCUUUUCAUUGUCUCUAUGUUCUUUAAACGUAGCCUGUUCCUUUCUUGAACUGCUAGAGUUUUAAAAAUGUGUUUUAGUGGUAGUUUUUUUUCUUUCUUUACUCCGUUUUAUACACUCUUUCUGUUCCUUUUCUCCCAGCCUGUCUCACUCUCUCCCUUCUCCUGGAGCGACUGGGUCCUGCGCUCACUCCGUCUGGCUUCUCCUUCCUGCUAUCUGUCUGUGUGCAGAGUGCCUCCCUCUACAGCCCAGGAAGCCAUUGUCCAGUCUUCGUAUCAUCUGUUUCAAC